This 251-nucleotide long non-coding RNA is filed under the name Theobroma cacao (cacao). RNAcentral describes it as "long non-coding RNA (TCAC_LNC006165)". The record is from RNAcentral. Lineage: Eukaryota; Viridiplantae; Streptophyta; Magnoliopsida; Malvales; Malvaceae.
UAAAACAUUUAUUAAAAAUGAUAUUGCAACUAUUUGAAUAAAAUAAAAAUAUUCUAAUUUCUUGUAAAACAAUAUUUAUACAGUCAUCGGUAAAUAAUUUUUGUAAUGUAAAAGUUAAAUAAAUUCAUACGUACUAUAAUACAGAUAAUCGGGAUAUGAAAUUUAUUUUACAGUGACUCGUGGGCCCACAAGGAACAAAAGUGCACAAAGGCAGUAAACCUACAGUUUUUGGAGUAGUAAAGUCGACUAUA